Molecule: ribosomal RNA, 305 nt
Filed under: uncultured bacterium
Lineage: Bacteria
Description: partial 16S ribosomal RNA
Rfam family: Bacterial small subunit ribosomal RNA
Source: RNAcentral
ACAGCAGCCGCCGCGGGAAUACGUAGGUGGCAAGCGUUGUCCGGAAUUAUUGGGCGUAAAGGGCUCGCAGGCGGUUUCUUAAGUCUGAUGUGAAAGCCCCCGGCUCAACCGGGGAGGGUCAUUGGAAACUGGGAAACUUGAGUGCAGAAGAGGAGAGUGGAAUUCCACGUGUAGCGGUGAAAUGCGUAGAGAUGUGGAGGAACACCAGUGGCGAAGGCGACUCUCUGGUCUGUAACUGACGCUGAGGAGCGAAAGCGCGGGGAGCGAACAGGAUUAGAUACCCGCGUAGUCCCUGUCUCUUAUAC